AUUGAACGCUGGCGGCAGGCCUAACACAUGCAAGUCGAACGAGUGGCGGACGGGUGAGUAAUGUCUGGGAAACUGCCCGAUGGAGGGGGAUAACUACUGGAAACGGUAGCUAAUACCGCAUACCAUCGGAUGUGCCCAGGUGGGAGUAGAUUUUAGGUGAGGUAAAGGACUACCAAGGCGACGAUCCGUAACUGGUCUGAGAGGAUGAUCAGUCACACGGGAACUGUGACACGGUCGAGACUCCUACGGGAGGCAGCAGUGGGGAAUAUUGGACAAUGGGCGAAAGCCUGAUCCAGCCAUGCCGCGUGUGUGAAGAAGGUCUUCGGAUUGUAAAGCACUUUAAGUUGGGAGGCGUUACCAACAGAAUAAGCACAGGCUAACGUCGUGCCAGCAGCCGCGGUAAUUC
RNAcentral lists this ribosomal RNA (406 nucleotides) under uncultured bacterium. Its description in RNAcentral is "partial 16S ribosomal RNA". It matches the Rfam family "Bacterial small subunit ribosomal RNA", at positions 30 to 526 of the family's 1533-position model. The record is from RNAcentral.